UCUGGAAUUCCAUCCCAUCACUGUAGGUGGUUUUAUUGGUGGAAGUGGGAUUUUUGGCACAUUUAUGGCACAGCCUGGCUUUGGGACCAUGAUUCUGGAAUUCCAUCCCAGCAUCACUGUAGGUGGUUUUUUGGGGGGAACUGGGACCCAGCAUCACUGUAGGUGGAUUUUUGGUGGAACUGGGAUUCCUGGCACAUUCCUGGCACAUUCCUGUCACAUUCCUGGCACAUUCCUGGCACAGCCUGGCUCUGGGGCCGUGCUGGAGGGGCUGGAAGGCCCCAGUCCCUCCUUGCAGGGAUGUGGGAGGUGGGAGCAGCUCCGAGGGAAGGGAAAUCCCAGUUUUCCAGGGUUACUGGUGCAGCUGGGAGGCUCUGGGAUGUGCCAUAAACAGGGUGGCAGGUCAGGGCUGCAGGACAGGGUGAGGAGGUGAGGCUGGGAAUGUUGGGAAUGAUGGGCUGGGAAUGUCAGGGAUGGGAAUUUGAGAAUUGGGAAUGUCAGGGCUGGGAAUGAUGGGAUUUGGAAUAUUGGGAAUGAUGGGCUGGGAAUUUGAGAAUUGGGAAUGUCAGGACUGGGAAUUUCAGGAUUGGGAAUGAUGGGAAUGUCAGGAUUGGGGAUGUCAGGGUUGGAAAUUUCAGGAUUGGGAAUGUCAGGGCUGGGAAUGUCAGGGUUGGGAAUUUCAGGAUUGGGAGUGUCAGGGGUGGGAAUGUUAGGGUUAGGAAUGUCAGGAUUGGGGAUGUCAGGGUUGGAAAUUUCAGGAUUGGGAAUGUCAGGGCUGGGAAUGUCAGGGUUGGGAAUUUCAGGAUUGGGAGUGUCAGGGGUGGGAAUGUUAGGGUUAGGAAUGUCAGGACUGGGAAUGUCAGGAUUGGGAAUUUCAGGAUUGGGAAUGUCAGGGGAAUUUCAGGGUUGGGAAUGUCAGGGCUGGGAAUGUCAGGGCUGGGAAUGCCAGGGUUGGGAAUGUCAGGAUUGGGAACUUCAAGAUUGGGAAUGUCAGGGUUUGGAAUGAUGGGCUGGGAAUGAUGGGCUGGGAAUGCCAGGGUUGGGAGUUUCAGGAUUGGGAAUGCUCAAACUCCAUGGCUGCAGAUCCGGGUGACUGCGGGGCACCAACAGGACAAAAUGCAAUUUUAGGGAACAGAAAGCCCAGGACGGUGCAACUCCCCGACUCUUAAAUACAAUCAGCACUUAAUUAAAGCACGCCGACGGUUUUUAAUUGCCCUGAUCCCCCCGGGACAGGCCCCGGGAAGGGGAGCGCGGUGCCUGCUCUGGAUUACAGCAGUGCCUGGCGCUGGUGGGGAGCGCAGCUCGAACAAAGCCGCUCUGAAAAGCAGAUCCAGGCUUUUUCCGAGGGUUUUUUCCAUCCCGCCGGACACGGGAAGAGACAUUUCCCUUCUCCCCCCCCCUCCGGGGGGGGGGGGGGGGGGGGGGGGGGGGGGGGGGGGGGGGGGGGGGGGGGGGGGGGGGGGGGGGGGGGGGGGGGGGGGGGGGGGGGGGGGGGGGGGGGGGGGGGGGGGGGG
Molecule: long non-coding RNA, 1511 nt
Filed under: Ficedula albicollis (Collared flycatcher)
Lineage: Eukaryota; Metazoa; Chordata; Aves; Passeriformes; Muscicapidae
Description: lncRNA (ENSFALG00000027490.1)
Source: RNAcentral